Molecule: non-coding RNA, 125 nt
Organism: Triticum aestivum (bread wheat)
Lineage: Eukaryota; Viridiplantae; Streptophyta; Magnoliopsida; Poales; Poaceae
Source: Rfam
UUUCUACUCCCUCCUCCGAAAAAACUUGUCCCUCAAAUGGUUGUAUUUAGCAUCAAGUUAGUGCUAGAUACAUUCAUUUGAGGGACAAGCUUGGGACAAGCUUUUUCGGACAGAGGGAGUAGAAU